RNAcentral lists this ribosomal RNA (483 nucleotides) under uncultured bacterium. RNAcentral's name for it is "partial 16S ribosomal RNA". It matches the Rfam family "Bacterial small subunit ribosomal RNA", at positions 28 to 523 of the family's 1533-position model. The record is from RNAcentral.
GACGAACGCUGGCGGCGUGCUUAACACAUGCAAGUCGAACGAUGAAGCCCAGCUUGCUGGGUGGAAGAGUGGCGAACGGGUGAGUAACACGUGAGUAACCUGCCCCUGACUCUGGGAUAAGCGCUAGAAAUGGCGUCUAAUACUGGAUGUGACCUAUCACCGCAUGGUGUGUAGGUGGAAAGAGUUAUCGGUUGGGGUUGGACUCGCGGCCUAUCAGCUUGUUGGUGAGGUAAUGGCGCACCAAGGCGACGACGGGUAGCCGGCCUGAGAGGGUGACCGGCCACACUGGGACUGAGACACGGCCCAGACUCCUACGGGAGGCAGCAGUGGGGAAUAUUGCACAAUGGGCGCAAGCCUGAUGCAGCAACGCCGCGUGAGGGAUGACGGCCUUCGGGUUGUAAACCUCUUUUAGUAGGGAAGAAGCGCAAGUGACGGUACCUGCAGAAAAAGCACCGGCUAACUACGUGCCAGCAGCCGCCGUAA